RNAcentral lists this ribosomal RNA (500 nucleotides) under uncultured Glomeromycotina. RNAcentral describes it as "partial small subunit ribosomal RNA". It matches the Rfam family "Eukaryotic small subunit ribosomal RNA", at positions 591 to 1092 of the family's 1831-position model. The record is from RNAcentral. Lineage: Eukaryota; Fungi; Glomeromycota.
CCAAUAGCGUAUAUUAAAGUUGUUGCAGUUAAAAAGCUCGUAGUUGAAUUUUGGGAUCAAUGGGUUGGUCAUGCCCUCGGUAUGUACUGAUUUCAUUAGUUCUCACCUUCUAAGGAACCAUGAUGUCAUUCGUUUGAUGUUGUGGGGAAUUAGGACUGUUACCUUGAAAAAAUUAGAGUGUUUAAAACAGGCUAACGCUUGAAUACAUUAGCAUGGAAUAAUGAAAUAGGACAUCCGAUUCUAUUUUGUUGGUUUCUAGGAUCGAUGUAAUGAUUAAUAGGGAUAGUUAGGGGCAUUAGUAUUCAAUUGUCAGAGGUGAAAUUCUUGGAUUUAUUGAAGACUAACUACUGCGAAAGCAUUUGCCAAGGAUGUUUUCAUUAAUCAAGAACGAAAGUUAGGGGAUCAAAGACGAUCAGAUACCAUCGUAAUUUUAACCAUAAACUAUGCCGACUAGGGAUCGGAUGAUGCUUAUUUUUUAAUGACUCAUUUGGCACCUUACG